AUGUAAGUUUUUGCAUGAAUUUUUGUUUAUUUUAAUAAUAAAUUGAAAUAUAAUAGUAUUCUCAGUAAUUAAUUUUAUAAAUCAAGGAAACUUGGAGGUAGUAAUUUUUAUUUAGUAUUGGCUAAAUUUGUGCCAGCAGCCGCGGUUACACAAAUGAUGCAAAUAAAAUUAUUUUGGUAUGAGUUAAAUUUUAUAUUUAUAAAAUAAACAUGGAUUUAUUAGGUGAAAUUUUAAAUUUAUAAAAAUUUUAUAAUUAAGUUAUUGAAGCUUGUAAAUUUUAAUUAAAAACUAGGAUUAGAUACCCUAUUAUUUAAAAUGUAAUUAUUUAUACUGAGGYAGUAGUAGUUAUGUUCUUGAAACUUAAAAAAUUUGGCGGUAUUUUAGUCUAUUCAGAGGAACCUGUCCUGUWAUUGAUAAUCCACGAUGUACCUCGCUUAAGCUUGUAAUUCAGUUUAUAUACCGUCGUUAUCAGAAUAUUUUACUAGAAUAAUAAUUUUCUGUAAUUUUUAUAAAAAUUUAUAUCAGAUCAAGGUGUAGCUUAUGUUUAAGUAGAGAUGGGUUACAAUAAAUUUAUUUAAAUGGAUUAAAAUUUGAAAUAUUUUAUGAAAGUGGRUUUGAUAGUAAAGUUUUAAAGAUUAAAAAUUUGAUUUUAGCUCUAAAAUAUGUACACAUCGCCCGUCGCUCUUACUAUUAAGGUAAGAUAAGUCGUAACAUAGUAGAUGUA
Molecule: ribosomal RNA, 724 nt
Filed under: Euphranta oshimensis
Lineage: Eukaryota; Metazoa; Arthropoda; Insecta; Diptera; Tephritidae
Description: partial 12S ribosomal RNA
Source: RNAcentral